RNAcentral lists this ribosomal RNA (404 nucleotides) under uncultured bacterium. RNAcentral's name for it is "bacterial SSU rRNA". It matches the Rfam family "Bacterial small subunit ribosomal RNA", at positions 355 to 775 of the family's 1533-position model. The record is from RNAcentral.
UAGGGAAUUUUCCGCAAUGGGCGCAAGCCUGACGGAGCAACGCCGCGUGAGUGAAGACGGCCUUCGGGUUGUAAAUCUCUGUUCUUAGGGAAGAAGAUAUGACGGUACCUAAGGAGAAAGCCCCGGCUAACUACGUGCCAGCAGCCGCGGUAAUACGUAGGGGGCAAGCGUUGUCCGGAAUUAUUGGGCGUAAAGCGCGCGUAGGCGGCGCUUUAAGUUGGGGGUUAAAGGCAGUGGCUCAACCAUUGUACGCCCUCAAAACUGGAGCGCUUGAGUGCAGCAGAGGAAAGUGGAAUUCCCGGUGUAGCGGUGGAAUGCGUAGAGAUCGGGAGGAACACCAGUGGCGAAGGCGACUUUCUGGGCUGUAACUGACGCUGAGGUGCGAAAGCGUGGGGAGCAAACAG